RNAcentral lists this unclassified non-coding RNA (579 nucleotides) under Hevea brasiliensis (rubber tree). The record is from RNAcentral. Lineage: Eukaryota; Viridiplantae; Streptophyta; Magnoliopsida; Malpighiales; Euphorbiaceae.
UAAAUCUCAUCUGACAACACCAGAAGUCGUGGAUGCGCCCUCACCACCUCAGCAAUCUUCUCAAGCACUUCCUUCGGGUAGACCGAUCCAGUAGGAUUGGAUGGAGAGCACAGAAUCAACAACCUCGACUUCUCAUUUAGACUCGCCGCAAGGCUUUCAGGCUUGAGUAGGAAAUUCUCCGAUACCUCUGUAGGGAGAAUAACUGGCUCUGCAUCCGCCAACCUGGCCAUCUCUGGGUAACUUGCCCAAAAAGGCGCUGGUAUCAGCACCUCAUCCCCCGGGGAACACGCCGCCAGCACCGCCUGCAUUAUACACUGCUUCGCCCCAUUGCUCACCAGGAUCAGGUCCGGUGUGUAAGUCAGCCCAUUCUCCUCCUGAAGCUUGUGGCAUAUUGCCUUGCGCAGCUCGAGAGUGCCAGCAUUAGGCGUAUACCGCGUGUAGCCGUCACGAAUUGCAUUUAUCCCAGCCUCGGCGAUGGCGGCAGGGGUGUCGAAGUCGGGCUCGCCGGCGGCGAGGCGGAUGAGGGGGACGCCAGCCUGGACGAGGGCGGUGGCGUGGUCAGCGAUGGCCAUGGUCUUG